GGGGGCAAAGUGACAGGUGGUGCAUGGUUGUCGUCAGCUCGUGUCGUGAGAUGUUGGGUUAAGUCCCGCAACGAGCGCAACCCUUAUUGUUAGUUGCCAUCAUUUAGUUGGGCACUCUAGCAAGACUGCCGGUGACAAACCGGAGGAAGGUGGGGAUGACGUCAAAUCAUCAUGCCCCUUAUGACCUGGGCUACACACGUGCUACAAUGGGAAGUACAACGAGUCGCGAAGUCGCGAGGCUAAGCUAAUCUCUUAAAGCUUCUCUCAGUUCGGAUUGUAGGCUGCAACUCGCCUACAUGAAGCCGGAAUCGCUAGUAAUCGCGGAUCAGCACGCCGCGGUGAAUACGUUCCCGGGCCUUGUACACACCGCCCGUCACACCACGAAAGUUUGUAACACCCGAAGUCGGUGAGGUAACCUUUU
RNAcentral lists this ribosomal RNA (421 nucleotides) under bacterium. Its description in RNAcentral is "bacterial SSU rRNA". It matches the Rfam family "Bacterial small subunit ribosomal RNA", at positions 1022 to 1444 of the family's 1533-position model. The record is from RNAcentral.